CGGGGGGAGCAAGCGUUGUUCGGAUUUACUGGGCGUAAAGGGCGCGUAGGCGGCCACCGCAAGUCGACUGUGGAAUCUCCGGGCUUAACCCGGAAAGGUCAGCCGAUACUGCGGGGCUAGAGUGCAGAAGGGGCAACUGGAAUUCUCGGUGUAGCGGUGAAAUGCGUAGAUAUCGAGAGGAACACCUGCGGCGAAGGCGGGUUGCUGGGCUGACACUGACGCUGAGGCGCGAAAGCUAGGGGAGCGAACGGGAUUAGAUACCCCGGUAGUCCUAGCCUUAAACGAUGAAUGCUUGGUGUCUGGGGUUUUAUAGUCCCCGGGUGCCGUCGCUAACGCUUUAAGCAUUCCGCCUGGGGAGUACGGUCGCAAGACUG
This 374-nucleotide ribosomal RNA is filed under the name uncultured organism. RNAcentral's name for it is "bacterial SSU rRNA". It matches the Rfam family "Bacterial small subunit ribosomal RNA", at positions 526 to 896 of the family's 1533-position model. The record is from RNAcentral.